RNAcentral lists this ribosomal RNA (348 nucleotides) under uncultured Alcaligenaceae bacterium. Its description in RNAcentral is "bacterial SSU rRNA". It matches the Rfam family "Bacterial small subunit ribosomal RNA", at positions 1033 to 1382 of the family's 1533-position model. The record is from RNAcentral. Lineage: Bacteria; Pseudomonadati; Pseudomonadota; Betaproteobacteria; Burkholderiales; Alcaligenaceae.
GACAGGUGCUGCAUGGCUGUCGUCAGCUCGUGUCGUGAGAUGUUGGGUUAAGUCCCGCAACGAGCGCAACCCUUGUCAUUAGUUGCUACGAAAGGGCAACUCUAAUGAGACUGCCCGGGUGGACAAAACCGGAGGAAGGUGGGGAUGACGUCAAGUCCCCAUGGCCCUUAUGGGUAGGGCUUCACACGUCAUACAAUGGUCGGUACAGAGGGCUGCCAACCCGCAAGGGGGAGCCAAUCCCUUAAAACCGAUCGUAGUCCGGAUUGAGGUCUGCAACUCGACCUCAUGAAGUCGGAAUCGCUAGUAAUCGCGGAUCAGCAUGUCGCGGUGAAUACGUUCCCGGGUCUU